This is a long non-coding RNA of Petromyzon marinus (sea lamprey), 2161 nucleotides long. RefSeq lists it as uncharacterized. Lineage: Eukaryota; Metazoa; Chordata; Hyperoartia; Petromyzontiformes; Petromyzontidae. The record is from RefSeq and is a predicted model, not a curated record.
CUUUAAAUGGCGAGGGAGCGCGCGCUCUGAUUCGUCGGCGCCCGGAGCGUGACGUCACCGGAAGGAGCCGCAAUGGCGGCGCGCGCGGUUUGGAGGCCUAGCGGCGCGGGGCUUUUCGCGCUCAUUUCUUCGGCGAUAUAAAAACUUCGAGCCGUAUAGUCGAGUUUGUUUAUUUUAAAAACAGAAUUAAUAAUAUCGUGGAACCUCGAAUGUGCGCUGUUUAGAAGUAUAUUCAAUAUAUACACACAAAGUAGUUGUUUUCCCUCUUGUUUUGUAGUUGGCCUCACGUGUGCCCCAUUGUAACUUCAUAGCGUGCUUGCUUAUUUUAACUGUAGCCUUGUCGUCAUGUAAAGUUUAAGUAAAUAGUGUUUAAUGUAGAAAACAGCAAUUCCGAGCGUCCUCUCAAACGGGCGCGGGGUGUUGCUGUCUUUACAGCCGUCGAUGUCCAUUCCACGUUCCACAUCCGUGCUUUUAGUUACCACAACACUGUUAACUAUUUUACGACGUCGGAGCGAGAUGAUGGGCGGCUUUCAAUCCGCAAUGGGGACUUGAACCGAUAACCCGAUUGCGUCGGUGGUGAAGUAUGGUUAAACACGGCCGACUGGGACUCGAUUUACAUUGGCGGUGGUUACGUUCGGAAUGGUGCCAGUUGCUGCUACAUGAACAUAGCUCUCGACCCGUACGGUUUGGUGAAUUGUGGAUAUUGGUCGCGAAAGACCACGUGUUAAACUUUGUUUCUUCCUUGUGAUGGGACUUUGUAGGAUGAACGUUGAGAUUUAUAAGGGCACGGGGGUGACCAAUACGGCCUGAAUUGGUCUGUAAUAAGGCUAGGGGCCGGUUUGCAUUAAUCGCUGCGAUGCCACCCAUCGUUUUUGCCAGUCGGGCAUUGCGGGCCCGCUGUGUGUCCACUGCCCUGGGUUGUUGUUGACCACCACAGUUGCCGCGUGGUUUUGUUAAGAGGGCUGUGGCCCACCAAAGCUUUUGCGGAAAGAUCGAAGGUCAGGAGAGGGAUCUUUCGAGCGGGCGGGUCUCUUCCUCGAGGUCUUUGGUUCUGGCCAUGUUUUUGUGUAUUGUGGUACGGAGUUAGACUGAUGGCCUUAAUCUUAGUUGUCUUGUGGUUGUUCUUGUUGUUUGACUUGCAUCCCACUGGGAUUUUUGCACACAGCGUUGGUGUACGGUGCUAUUUCAGGAAUAUUUUGAUGUUUUUUCCUGGAUUUUCUGUUUGCACAGAGUCACAGUCACUGUAAGAUGUUUUCUUGUUCAUGUUUUUGUUUGUUGCGGUUGCACCCAAUUCAAGAGCCGAAUGGCUCACAGGGCUAUACCAAAUAAAUGAACUAUGGAACUUCCCGUGAACUUCCUCCCCCCCCCCCCAUUUUUGGCUUUCCCGAGGAUCGGCCGUCGUGGUUUUAAUGGCGAUUCGUCUCGUCGUCGUCCUCAUCAUCACCGGGCGGUGGUGGCGGCGGCGGCUUCCAGUUUGUGGGCAAGAGAAACGAAACGAGCAAGGACGUUGCAAGUGGUGUUGCGAAGCCACCCUGGAAAUGGGCUGGAGGAUUUGAGUGCAAUUUGUGUUUUGUAUGCAGAAAGACGACACUUUUAUUACAAACAUUUACUCCUUGUUUAGAUUUUGGUUUUGUCUUGAUGAAUAUGUGAAUGAUAAACAUACAGCCGUUUUGUCAAUACAUUGUUGGAUGAAGGCCUCGACAAUGGUGGGCAUGCAUUUGAGAAAUGUUAUUGGAUUUUCAUUUUUAACAUUUUUGUAAAUAUUCCUCAAAUAUGUUUUUUAGUAAGAGCCAGAAUACAGGUAGUCCUCUACUUACGAUGGAGAUGCGUUACGACGACCCCAUCGUAAGUCAAAAAUAUCGUAAGUCGAAGAUGGCCUCGCCUACCCAGGAGUCUUAAAGAAUGGUGAUAAUUUAGCAAAACAGAGCAAUUUACAGUACCGUACUGUAUAAACUAUAUACUGUAUGUAUUUAUGUGUUUUUAUCGUACCUCGUACGCUGCUGCGUUUGCCUGCCGUGCGACAUUGCAAAUAUUUUACAAUUUUGUCGUAUCGCCACCGUAAGAUCGAAAUAUCGUAAGUCGGACCGUUGUAACUCGUGGACUGUAUUUUUGUCAGUUUGGCUUUGGACUAAACACAAGCAUUAAAGUUUGCUUUAAAAAA